GACAGAGGUGCCGAGCGUUAGGCGGAAUCACUGGGCUUAAAGCGUGUGUAGGCGGGCGGGCAAGUACCUUGUGAAAUCCCACGGCUCAACCGUGGAACUGCUGGGUAUACUGCCUGUCUUGAGCCAGCCAGGGGCAGUCGGAACAGACGGUGGAGCGGUGAAAUGCGUAGAUAUCGUCUGGAACGCCAAAGGUGAAAACAGACUGCUGGGGCUGUGCUGACGCUGGAGACACGAAAGCCAGGGGAGCGAACGGGG
RNAcentral lists this ribosomal RNA (255 nucleotides) under uncultured bacterium. Its description in RNAcentral is "partial 16S ribosomal RNA". It matches the Rfam family "Bacterial small subunit ribosomal RNA", at positions 524 to 777 of the family's 1533-position model. The record is from RNAcentral.